This 8275-nucleotide long non-coding RNA is filed under the name Daucus carota (carrot). RNAcentral's name for it is "long non-coding RNA (DCAR_LNC003002)". The record is from RNAcentral. Lineage: Eukaryota; Viridiplantae; Streptophyta; Magnoliopsida; Apiales; Apiaceae.
UAAGAAGAAGGAGUCAUAUUCGGACGGCUUAGUUAAUGCGAUAAAAGGGACAAGCUGAUGAGGAGUUUUUUGUCGCAGAGGGUGAUGAGCAUCUUGAGGAUGAUGUUUCUGGCGGUUAAGUAAAGCAUAGAGAAUGGCUUUCAUCCAGGUGGUGCCAGAUUUGGGUGGAGUUACAAGGAAGACAUCGUUUUGUCGAGGUCGAAAAUGUUGUUGACAGUCGAUCAAGCCUUUCAAACUUAUAGAACCAAACCAGAAUCCUUGGUAUUGAUAAGUGUAGUCUUCAGUUAUGCCUUUGGCUUUUGGCAGGGAUGAAAGCCAUUCUUGGCUACAAACCACAGGCUCAGCGUCAGACUCUGUUGUUUUCGCUUCCAUGAUAUGUUAUGUUAACAUGCAAAGAAAAGACAUGUGAUAUAUUAUAAUAUUGGACACCACUAGCCCAGGGACCUAUAGCAUAUUCCUCGAUUAAAUAAUUGGAUUACAGCUCUACAAUCACAAACCGUUAGAAAGAGUAGGACCCCUAGGUAUUACAUUUAUGGAAAAUGCUUAUUGCACAUAAUUGUGUACUAAAACAUGUACAUAAUGAUAUGUGUCAGAUUUUAAUUGGAUGACCCCCUGCAUUUACACCAAUCACCCCAAUUAAAACCCACCACAUCACUUGCCACAUCAUUAUGUACAAAUUUUCUGUACACAAUUAUGUGCACCUAGCACUACUCUACAUUUAUAGUAGUGUUACAUACACAAAAUUGGAUACUCCCUCUGUCCCAUUUAAUUCUAUACGUUUCUUUUUAACUGCUCGACACGCAUUUCAAUGCUCUUAUAAAAUAUAGUUCCGUAACUUUUUUUUGAGAUUUUCUUUUUCUGUAUAAAAAUAUAACAUCCAAACUUUAAUACAGAAAAGAAAAAUUUUAAAAACAAAUUGCACAACUACAUUUUGCAGGAGCAUUAAAGUCCGUGCCGCGUCCCCGUCCCCCAAUGUAUACAACUCAGGGGGACGGAGGGAGUACAUAAUUUUGGACAAAAUGACAUGACAAGUAAGGUGGGAAGUUUUAAGUGGUGCUAUUAAUGCAUAUACAGGGGCCAAUCAAAUCACAAGUUAACACAUACUUAUUCUGUGAAUGUUUUUGUACACAAUCCUGUGCAUCUAACAUUUUCCUUACAGUUAAUAUAAAUACAUAUUUUAAAAAUUAUUUUAAUUUUUUUACAUUGUUGUGUGUGUCAGAAAUAAUUUUAAAAUAUAAUACAUAAACUUUGAGGGAACACAGGAGGUAAAGUAGCUAUUAGAGACUAAAUAUAUACACUGUUACCUCUCAAACAGUUAAAGUGAACGGCGUAUUUGGACGGAAUAGUGACUAGGGUUUACAACUUGCACGGUAAUGUCAAGUGUAAGGUGCAUAUUGCCACGUUUUAAAGUUUAGGUACUAAACUGCGUUUGAAGCAAAACUAAGAGAUACAAAAUGUAAUUAACUCUUCAAUUAUUUCCCAGCUGAUUGACAAAUUUGCUGUUGUUUAUCCACCCAGCAGUUGCUCAGUCAUUUGUAGUGUACAGAAUGCUACUCCCUCCGAUUCUAAUUACUUUUCCCGUUUGAAAUGUCGGUACUGUUCAUAACACGAGACAAAUUACUAAUUUACGUAUAAUCUAUAAGAUAAAAUAUAGUCAUGAGUGAUCUUAUUGGAUUCGUAUUUAUAAGUACUUUAAUACGGUGAAAGUUUUAUAUUUAAAACUAAUAUAAAAUUAAAGAUAUUUAUAAUCAAAAAUGUGUAUUGGCAAACGUGAAAAGGACAAAUGGGAAAAGUAUUUAGGGACGGAGGGAGUAACAGACAUAGGCAACAUCAUCGUUUAAUCUUAGUAUUGGCCAAUAAAUUCAGAUGAAACUGUGGUUUCUUUCAGAUUUGGGUGAAUCGGCAUAUAUGAUAUACCUGACAUUAGUAGGAUAUAAAUAGAAAUAGCCUUGCUUUCGUAUUUUUUUCUUGUUGAGUUACGGUGAGAAGUUAUUAUUGCUCAAUAUUUAUAUUCAGACAUAAUUUUGAUAGAUUUUGGAGUCUUCUAAUUAGAAUAUGAUAAUAAGGUGAUGAUUUUUGCAUGAGUAUAUCAAAUUUAUAUAUUCACUUUUCAUUAUGUAAUACACGCCUAUGACUCAAUGGGGUGGACAAUCAAAAUCGCCUAAAAACCAAAGAUAUUAUUGACAUGCAUGCAUCUGGUGUAAAUAUAAUUCCUAACUAUGUUAUAAACUCCCUCACCAACUAUUGGAUACAUCACAUAUGCGAAAUUUAUUAAAAUCUUGUUAUUCGGGACUAAGGGAAUUUUUUGGAUAUUUUGAACUGAUAAUUUUGUGAGAUUUUCGGAGUAUUCUAUACUUUCAUAAUCAACGAAAAGUGUUGAAGUUUGCAUUUAAAUUCUAAAAACUCUUUUGCAUAAAAUGAAAAAUAAAUAUAAUUUAUUAACAUUCAUAAAUUAUUAUUACUUAAUUAAAAUCCGAAUCAAACAACACCUUAAUUGAAACGUGCUCCUGAGAAGGUACAGUACUUGGUAUACAUCGAGGGAGUACUACUUAAAAAUGCAUACAUAUGAUGAUAAGCCAUCUCAAACUCAUACUUUCAGGGACAUAAAACAAAGAGACACAAACAAGCCAACAAGAAGAUCAAUAAUACAAGCAACAAACACACAUUAAAUUCGAUAUUAAUUUUGGCCAUAAUGUAUAUAAGUGAUGAUGAUAUAUAUAUAUAUAUCAAAGUUUUAAUCCUGAACCACGGAACUUGUCCUGGGUAAUCUGAUCCAACUUAGCAGCCAUCUCUGGAGUUAGCCACUUAUUUCCUUCUCCAACUUGACCGUUCCGAAAAUAUGAAGAAUUGCUUACUCCGGGCAAGAAAUGUCCUGUGCUAUUAACCUGCAGUUUGCUCAUGCUCCCAAAACUACACAAACUCGUGAUCUGAUCAACCAUUUCCAUUAAUUCCUCCUCUGGUGAGAAGGGUCUCCCCAGAAACCGCGCCAGACGCCUGAGUUGAGCAUGAGGCUCAGACUUCAACUCUUCAUACCUCAUAAACAGCACCUUGUUUGGUCUCUCCAGGCUUUCCUUCCAAUAUUCCAAGAUUUGAUCCCAGAUAGGACCCGCAACGUUUGUGCCUUUGCAGAAUAAAUGAAAUGCCUCCUCCAAAGAAACGGGAGAAGAUCGUAAACCCAGGGCCGGCUCAUAAUGAAGGCGAGUUAGGCAAUCGCCUAAGGCCCCCAUCUGGAGAAGGCCCCAAAAUUUUAUUGGUAUGUAUUUAUGUAGGUAUAUAUGUACAAAAAUAAAUAAACUAGCUUCAUGAUUUAAAAGAAUAAAAAAAAAAUAUUCGAAUUAUCUUACAAUAGGCCCCAAAAUGAAAUUAAUAUGUAUACAUUGAGGUAUAUUUAUAUAUGCAAAAAGAAAUUAGUUUCAUGAUAUUAAAAGAAAAAUUAAAAAAGAACUAGAAUUAAUAUCUAAAUCUGGUAAAAAAAUUGAGAAAUACUGUGUGAUAAUUUUUUUUGAAAAGAAUGAUAACUAAAAUAUUAAUAUUGAUAGUUUUAGUCAUGUUUUUUUUGUGCUAACUUAAUAAAUACUUGAUUUGAAUCUCUAACUAAUAAUAAAUAUGUAAAUAAUUUUUUUAUUGGGAUGUAACUUGGUUCUUGUGAACAUAAAAUUUAGUUCUCAAAAAUAAAAAAAUGUUAGAGAUUCUAUUAUGAUUUUUUCAGUCUCUCUUCAUUUUAAUUACUUUUUAAAUUUUAAUUUUAAUAACACAAAUACUUUUAUUAUAAUAUUAAAUAAUAUAAAACUAUCAAUGUAUAUAAGUUAUUUAUGUUAUACACAAGACACGUUACACUGAUUAACAUUAAUUUAUAAUGUUAAUGUCAUUUUUCAUCUCCGGGUCUUCUAGAGUCUAAACAAUUUACUUAAUUAUCUAAACAUCAUCUUUACUCUAUAUCUUUACUCUAUAUCUUCUCCGUCCAGUUUUUGCAAAAAAAAAAAAAAUUACUUCUGAGUUUUAUAUUAUAAUAUUUAAUAUUAAAAAAAUAUUUAUAUUAGUAAUAUAAUAUUUAAAUUUUUGCUUAGGCCUCAUUUUGAGGUUCCGCCUAAGGCCACAAAAUUUCUUGAGCCGGUCCUGCGUAAACCAAUUUUGUUUGCGAAGUGAAAGAGUGAAGUAAAAGUGUCCUUGAUGUCCCUGCACAAAUACACAAUCUUGAUGUUAGUUGAUCCAUCAUCAUCCUCCUCUGUUAUGGACUUGGGGAGGCAACGUAUAGGAAAAUGGCAGCCAAAGAUCCUACUAGUGCUGUCUAAGAAUAAGGAGUCAUAUUCGGACGGCUUAGUUAAUUCCAUAAAAGGGACAAGCUGAUGAGGAGUCUUUUGUCGCAGAGGGUGAUGAGCAUCUUGAGGAUGAUAUUUUUGGCGGUGAAGUAAAGCAUAGAGAAUGGCUUUCAUCCAGGUGGUGCCAGAUUUGGGUGCAGUUACAAGCAAGACAUCGUUUUGUCGAGGCCGAAAAUGUUGUUGACAGUCGAUCAAGCCUUGCAAACUUAUAGUACCAAACCAGAAUCCUUGGUAUUGAUAAGUGUUGUCUUCCGUUAUGCCUUUGGCUUUUGGCAGGGAUGAAAGCCAUUCUUCGCUAUAAACCACUGUCUCAUCAUGCUCUGUUGUUUUUGCUUCCAUGAUACUUUGUUGUGUAACAUUGAAAGCAAAAAAAUGUGAUAUAUAAUGCAUUCAGCAUCAAUGCCUUGCUCUGUCGUUGGUGGCGUUGGUUUCCCUGCAGGUAAACGUUAUAUAUCAUAUUAAUGCUCGCAUCCGAGUUGGUUGGAAAAUUGAUAAAACUAACAAACAUUUCCAAUACUAUCAACAUGUCUGCCCAACAUGUGUGAGCCUAUUAAUAGACAUGGGCAAUACUAUCAUCGUUUAAUCUUAACAUUGGUCGAUAAACUAAGACCAUCUCCAAUCAUAAUUUUAUAAAUAAAGCAACUUCAUCUUUAUUUUCACUUUUUUCACUUUAUAUUUUUAUUCCAUCUCCAAUCAUUACUUUAUUUUAUAAAUAAAGCAAUUUGUGUUUUAUCUUCAAGUUCAACUUCAUAUAUAAAGUAGGAUAGUGCAUGACUUUAUAUAUAAAGAUAGAGUAAUAGAUGAUCGGAGAUGGAUUACUUUAUUUGAAAAAUUAAAAGUGAAGAUAUACUAAGUAUAGAGUGAUGGUUGGAGAUGCCUUAAGGUUGUUUCUAUCUGAUCUGGGUGGCCUUGGAUAUUAAUGCUUGCACCAGAGUUGGUUGGAAUAAUUUGAUAAACAAAGACGUGAUGUUGAUAUAAUGCAUUCACCAUUGAUGUCUUGUUGAUAGAGGUGGCCAAACGGACUAAACCGACUGAACCGGCACGCCCCGAACCGGGUUUUUAACCGCCCGAAACCGUCUAAAUACGGGCCGGUUCGAAACCGUCAUGAACCGAUAUGAGCACGUGCCGAAUACGGGUUGACAAAUAAGGAACCGAACCGUAACCGGCCCGGAACCGCUAGAAUCCAUGGAACCGACGCAGUUGGAACCGCGGAACCGCGGUUUGAACUGUGGAACCGCAAAACCGCGGAACCGCGGUUCAAACCGUGUAAGGUGCAUGUACAAAGGGUGCUUGGUAACCAAUUUUGUGAUAUAAUUACAAGUUUUUGCUUUCUGUAUUUUUGUACAGGGGUAUUAAUUUGUUACUCUUUGUUUUAUUUCGUUUGUUUUGUUAAUUUUAGUUUUUGUUUAGUUAGUUUAGUUUAUUUCGUUAACCUUAAAUAUAGUUUACUUAAUUUUAUUUCGUUUUAGUUAUUAAGUUUAGGUAAUUUUAUUUAAAAAAAUAAUUUAGUUAGUUUUAUUUCGGUUAAGUUUUCAUACUCAAAUAAUUUUCGUUUAGAAAAAUAAUUUAGUUAAUUUUAUUUAGGUUAAGUUUUUAAAUUUAGGUAAUUAUUUAUUAGUUUACAAUUUAUUGAUAAUUAAUUUCAUAUUAAUACUUAACAAAAAUAAUUUCCCAAAUUAAUAUCAUAUAAAACUUUAUUAUCAAAAUUUUAAAUUUUAAGAAUUAUUAAAAUUUACACAUGUUAUUAUAAAACAAAAAAAAAACAAAAAAGCAACACAUGCAUGUUAAGUGAGCCAGACAAUAAUUGAAGAGCCACGCUGAACCGCAGAACAUGAACCGCGAACUGCGGAACCGCUUAAACCGGCACGAACCGCCAACCCGUCUCAACCGUGUGAACCGUAUAACACGGUUUCGGUUUUCAUUUCCAUCAGCCCGGCCCGGCACGGACCGGACAGCCAGUCUUGACGUGCCGGUUACGGUUUCAUCGCUGACAGUUCGGCCCGCGGUUGAAUUGGCCCGAACCGCCCCGGCCCGCCCGAAUGGCCACCUCUACUUGUUGAGCACUGCUUUAUUAUUAUUAUGGGUUUUUCCUUGCGUGAGUAGGCUAAAAGGUCGCUCAACUCAUGACCAACUUACAGUUUCAUAACUCAAAAAGCUUAUUAAUAAAUUACACAACUAGAUUUAACUUACUAUUUAAUCAUUAACAUUAAAAAUGUUUCCACCACCGUUAACUCUUGUUUGACUUUUAACUAAAAAUAUUAGUCAAUUGGGUCUUUCGGUUAUUUAAAUACAAAUUUUUAUUAGUUCCGUAAACCAACUGCAAGUUGAGGACCAUUCGAUCAUGUAUUAGCCUAUUGACUUGUUUCAUUUAAUAAAAAUGCCCUAUUCAGUUCAAACCCAAUUUUUUUGAAUAAAAUUAAUCUAUCAUCUUAUUAUGAAAUUAUAGAAGUGAUCCAUAAUUUUUUUUUAAAAAGGUACUCCCUCUGUCCCAUUUUAACUGAUGUUUGACUUUUUAACACGUAUAUUGAGGUGUAAAAAAAUAAUAUCUACACUCAAUAAAAAAUUUCAAUUCUUAUAUCAAAUAAAAGUUUAGACUCUAAACUUUUAUUUGAUAUAAAUUUUAUAAAAAAUAAUCAUGUUUAGAUGUAAUUUUUUUAACAUCUUAAAAUACGUGUAAAAAAGUCAAAAGCAGUUAAAAUGGGACGGAGGGAGUACUUUUUAAAAAAUUGACAUUUUUCUCUACUUUAAAUUUUAUUAAAUCAUAGAAGUGCUCAUUGUCCCCCCCCCCUAAUUUGAAAAUAUGAAGGUAAUUUCCAUAAAAUUGACAUUUUUCAUAAUUGUAAAUCUUAUGAAAUUAUUGAAGUUCAAAAUUUUUAUUGUGCGAGUCAUGAGAAUGAUUUAUAUUGGUGGAAAAUUUUGUUCUAUUCUACUAUUAUUAAUUAUUAAUGUGAUGAGAGUCAAUAAAAAUAUGUUAGCUAUUUAGAGAGUAAUUGGUUGUUAUGCCGGUUGAUGGCACAUACUAGAAAAUUGGAUUAUUAUUAAUAAUGCUUGCAACAAGUUUAUUGAAAAAAUUGAUAAAAAUAACAUCAUGUCAGUAGAAAACUGACCGAAAAUGAUAAUUUCCGGAUUUUAUUAUUACUCAAUUGCAAAGAGAGUAUUUGUAUUUGUGUGCAAAGAGACACUUGUUUCCCUCUCCAACUUGACCAUUCCGAAAGAAGGAAGAAUUGCUUACUCCAGGCAACAAAUUUCCAGUGCUAUUAACCUGCAGUUUGCUCAUGCUACCAAAACUACACAAACUCGUGAUCUGAUCAACCAUUUCCAUAUUCUCCUCCUCCGGUGAGAAGGGCCUCCCCAGAAACUGAGCCAGACGCCUGAGUUGAGCAUGAGGCUCAGACUUUAACUCUUCAUACCUCAUAAACAGCACCUUGUUUGGUCUUUCUAGGCUUUCCUUCCAAUAUUCCAAGAUUUGAUCCCAUAUAGGACCCGCCACGUUUGUGCCUUGGCAGAAGAAAUGAAAUGCCUCCUCCAAAGAAACAGGAGAAGAUCGUAAACCAAUAUUGUUGGCGAAGUGAAAGAGUGAAGUAGAAGUGUCCUUGAUGUCCCUGCAGAAAUACACAAUCUUGAUGUUAGCUGAUCCAUCCUCCUCCGUUAUGGACUUGGGGAGGCAACCUAUAGGAAAAUGGCAGCCAAAGAUCCUACUAGUGCUGUCUAAGAAUAAGGAGUCAUAUUCGGACGGCUUGGUUAAUGCGAUAAAAGGGACAAGCUGGUGAGGAGAAUUUUUCGCAGGGGGUGAUGAGCAUCUUGAGGAUGAUGUUUCUGGCGGUGAAGUAAAGCAUAGAGAAUGGCGCUUUCAUCCAGGUGGUGCCUGAUUUGGGUGCAGUCACGAGGAAGACAUCGUUUUCUCGAGGUCGAAAAUGUUGUUGACAGUCGAUCAAGCCUUGCAAACUUAAAGUACC